Artibeus jamaicensis (Jamaican fruit-eating bat) is the source of this 4327-nucleotide RNA transcript. It is a transcript of the gene named purinergic receptor P2Y1, with no coding region annotated. The record is from RefSeq and is a predicted model, not a curated record. The transcript is spliced from 2 exons. Lineage: Eukaryota; Metazoa; Chordata; Mammalia; Chiroptera; Phyllostomidae.
CCGCGCGCCAGCCGCCCAAACUCCGCCCACCCUCGCGGUGCCGGGCUCGCCGCCUGCCCCUGCGCUCCGGACCCUGCGGGGCCUGCGGAGGGACCCGGAGCUGAACCGAAGACGAAGGGUCGGGAUCCCAAAGUGCACGGGUCUGCAGUCACGCGGAAGCGGCGUGGACCCGGGGUCGAGCUGUUUGCUUGCAAGGUUGGGAGAAGGAAGAUGUCCAAACGAAGUUGAUCUUUGGGCGAAGGAGGCUGGGGAACUCAGUCCCCCUGCCGGAACGCAACACGUGAGUUUGGCCGGACCUCGCUGAGCCUCCGGGGAGGACUAGCCGCCCCUCGGGAAAGCGCAGUUGGAAAGUUGUGGGAGGCUGUUGGUGCCCUGUGCUCCCCGUUGUGUAAUUUAGGCGCUGCCAGCCGCACUGGGAAGUUGCUGGCCCUCCCGCCAGCUUGGUUCGGUCCCGGUCCCGGGCGGAUUUCAUGGCCCUCGGGGAACGUGGAGCCGGAGCCAGCGUGGGCGAACCCCGGCGCGCCCCCUCCCGCGGGGAUCCCCGGUGCCCGCUCCCUUCCGCUCGCCCGCUUUUCCGAUGCUCGCUGCUCCCCUCGCCACCGCAGCCGCCCUCACGCCGCCGCUUGUCCCUUGGAGCCUCCGCCUAAGUCCGGGAGGACAGAAUGACCGAGGUGCUGUGGUCCGCUGUCCCCAACGGGACAGACGCUCUCUCCGUGGGCGGCCCGGGCUCUCCCUGGGGAAACAGCACGGUGGCCUCCGUCGCUGCCGUCACCCCCACGUACACUUGCUCUCUGACCAAGACGGGCUUCCAGUUCUACUACCUGCCGGCGGUCUACAUUUUGGUGUUCAUCAUCGGCUUCCUGGGCAACAGCGUGGCCAUCUGGAUGUUCGUCUUCCACAUGAAGCCGUGGAGCGGCAUCUCCGUGUACAUGUUCAACUUGGCCUUGGCCGACUUCUUGUACGUGCUGACUCUGCCCGCGCUCAUCUUCUACUACUUUAAUAAGACAGACUGGAUCUUCGGGGACGCCAUGUGUAAGCUGCAGAGGUUCAUCUUCCACGUGAACCUCUAUGGCAGCAUCUUGUUCCUGACCUGCAUCAGCGUGCACCGCUACAGCGGCGUGGUGUAUCCGCUCAAGUCCCUGGGCAGGCUCAAGAAGAAGAACGCGGUCUACAUCAGUGUGCUGGUGUGGCUCGUCGUGGUCGUGGGGAUCUCCCCCAUCCUCUUCUACACCGGCACCCAGCUCCGGAAAAACAAAACCACCACCUGCUAUGACACCACCUCAGACGAGUACCUGCGAAGCUAUUUCAUCUACAGCAUGUGCACGACCGUGGCCAUGUUCUGUGUCCCCUUGGUGCUGAUUCUGGGCUGUUACGGAUUAAUUGUGAAAGCUUUGAUUUACAAUGACCUGGACAACUCACCUCUGAGGAGGAAAUCAAUUUACCUGGUGAUUAUUGUCCUGACUGUUUUUGGGGUGUCUUAUAUCCCUUUCCAUGUAAUGAAAACGAUGAAUUUGAGGGCCCGGCUGGAUUUUCAGACCCCAGAAAUGUGCGCCUUCAAUGACAGGGUUUAUGCUACUUAUCAGGUGACAAGAGGUCUAGCAAGUCUCAACAGCUGUGUGGAUCCCAUUCUCUAUUUCUUGGCAGGAGAUACUUUCAGAAGGAGGCUCUCCCGAGCGACCCGGAAAGCCUCCAGAAGAAGCGAGGCAAAUUUACAGUCCAAGAGUGAAGACAUGACCCUCAAUAUUUUAUCCGAGUUCAAGCAGAAUGGAGAUACAAGCUUGUGAAGAUGCAAGAAUCCCCAAACACCCACUGUUGUAACAUGGUAGGAUGCUUAAUAGAGCCAUGUGCUCCCCCCACCCCUUUAAGUUUCUAAAAGUUUAGAGAAAAAUCAAACCAAGAAGUUAGUGAGUUAAAAGAAGAAUAGAACUGGAAAUGUCCACACACACACUUAAGUUUGUUUGGGUUUGCUCUCAAGACCUCCCUUCUUUCUCACCAGAAGUCUCAGAACGUCCAGCAUGAUUUUACAGUCUGUGUUAAGGACAAUUGUUUCAGCUACCAGAGAACUUCUUAUAGAGUGCGGAUCCAUUGAGGAGGUGGACAGUGACUAGAAAUGUCCUUUUACUUCUUGGCAUGUUUUUUUUUCAGAGUGUUUCUUCUUUAAGUUUAUACAUCACGCAGUAGACAAUAGUGACAUGUGAAUGCAUGUCAGAUAGAAACAAGAAUGAUCUCACUAACUCCUUGCAGGCAAAAAAGCUCUCUGGGAAGUGUCUGUGUUCAUGGUGAAAACAUAAAGAGGGUCAGGAUGAAGCAGUGAUCUUAAAAUCUGACUCUUGACAUGUGAUGGUAUUAUUAACUAUUUUAACUAUUUUAAUGAAAAUAGAAGAAGUCUGUUGGCAUUUGAUGAAAGAACUGCUGAAAUCAUAGGAUUUAUCAGUUAACUAAAUUUCACAAUACAAAAUUAUUUUAAUGCCAAGUCCAAGGUGUUCUAUGACACACCAAGUACAUCUUUGACACUUUGAACAUCAACAUGUUUGCAUUGCAAUAGUGAAAAGGACAAACCAAGAAGAGACACAGCAUGAGUAGAAUUCAGAGUUAAAACCAUGACAUUGCCACUGGGCCAGCUUUGGAACUGUGACCCUUUCAAGACCAUUCUUUGUGUUAAAAAGGUUGGAUAACAUCUAGCUGUUGGGGCCUUGGGGGAUGUGGAAACAUUAGAACUACAAGCGGCCAGCGUUGCAUAAAAUCUGCUGCUGUACUUUGUAGGACUCUUCAAUUCCAGUCCUUGGCUAAAGAUUCUUAUGAAAUCCACCCAUUGUGAUGUGGACCUACGACUUGUAAAUUCUCUCAGUCCCCUUCAGGGGUACCUUAACCUGCCUUUGGAUACAAAAGAGGUCAGUGCUUAGAGCAGCUGGAAUCUGAUUGGCUGCAAUAGAGACGUGUAACUAGUUAGAGAUUUAUUGAAGCUUUGAUUUUGCUGAUCAGCUGUGGCUGUCAUAAUAGUAUUUAUUAAUGAAGCUCAUUAUUCUUCAGUUGCACAGAUUGAAAGACUUUCUGGAAAGGUCCAACAUACUGAUGUAAAUUCUAUUUAUUACAGUGUAUAAUAUGAAUGUCCCAGUGGUAUAUUUUACAUAAUAUAUGAUGCAUAGAUAAGAUGAAUUAUUGUAAAGUAUGACGCUUUUCAAAUACUAGUGUCUUGAAAUGUUUGUCUUCUGAUUUUUUGACCUAAAAUAUGAAACUCUGUGAUGCAAGUGGUUAAUUUUCUGUAGAAAUGCUUUUGCACGUUUUUCUUUUUAUUUAAAAUUUUUUCUAUACAGACAGAAUUUGUUGUCAAACUAUCAUAAGAUGAAUAGCAAGUACAACACAUCUGUCUGUAUUGUCUACAUUUUGUAUAAUGUUAUAGAAAAGUUUAUAUUGCCUUUUAAGAACAUUUAGAAUUGUGCCCUCAAAAAUGAUCAGAGCUUUUAUUUCCAAAUGCAAUAUACUUGUCCUAAAUUCAGAAUAGAGCUCUUAUGUGUUAGAUUGUCUGGUGAGAUGGGCAUUAUCAAUGUCACGUUAGAAUUUAAAGAAAAACUUGAGGGAGACAGGAGGGAAAGAGGCACCGGGCAUAAUCAGUGACCGUGCUCAGUUCUUACAUUUUUGUGCCAUAUUUCAUUAUAAGGGGAAAUAGUAUGAUCUUAAUUGCUUUGAGAUGGAGCCUCUAAGUAACACACUACCAGCAAGUUUAACACUGCUAUUGAUUUUAAACUGUUUGUUCAGUUGAUGACUUUAAUUCCAAGUUUCAUAGUGAUGACCGUAUUAUUAUAUAUUUGGCUGCUGAAUUCUGUUACAUUUUUUAUUCUGUUGUACAUUGUAUUGUAUACAUAAUGACAAAUUAAUAUGAAGGGGAAUAUAUGUGACAUAUCAAAAUUUGUGAAUUUGAAGUCUAGUAUGUUUCAGUGCUUUUGCAAAAAUGUUUAUUUUUAUAUUAUCUGUGAUUUAAUAUAGAUAAUUGACUAGGUUUCUUUGUGAUCAUUAGUGCCAUUAAAUGAGCGGUAUGGAAACAGUAUUACUUGACAUUUUGUGCUUUCUCAGGUUUAUCUAAAUCAAUGGUAGCUUAAUGGAUUCCCAACUAAUUGUGCACAAUUGUUUUAUUCAAAAGGAAUGUACAUUUCCUAUACAUUUGCAUGCAGGAGUGUACCAUAUGGUGUGCGUGUGUGCAAGGCAUGGCAGCCGACUUUGCAUCUGCUAUUGAUAAUAACAGCAGAGCCUAGAUAUAAUCGUGGUCACUAGAACUGUACCCACAAUAGACAACUACAACUAAAAAGUCUCAAUAAAACUAUGAAAUGUG